RNAcentral lists this ribosomal RNA (119 nucleotides) under Pteropus alecto (black flying fox). Lineage: Eukaryota; Metazoa; Chordata; Mammalia; Chiroptera; Pteropodidae. The record is from RNAcentral.
GUCUGCAGCCACGCCACCCUGAACAAGCCCGAUCCCGUCUGAUCUCGGAAGCUAAGCAGGGUCGGGCCUGGUUAGUACUUGGAUGGGAGACCACCUAGGAAGACCAGGUGCUGCAGGCG